GUAGGUGGCAAGCGUUGUCCGGAAUUAUUGGGCGUAAAGCGCGCGCAGGCGGUUCUUUAAGUCUGAUGUGAAAGCCCACGGCUCAACCGUGGAGGGUCAUUGGAAACUGGAGAACUUGAGUACAGAAGAGGAAAGCGAAAUUCCACGUGUAGCGGUGAAAUGCGUAGAGAUGUGGAGGAACACCAGUGGCGAAGGCGGCUUUCUGGUCUGUAACUGACGCUGAGGCGCGAAAGCGUGGGGAGCAAACAGGGAUUAGAUACCCUGGUAGUCCACGCCGUAAACGAUGAGUGCUAAGUGUUAGGGGGUUUCCGCCCCCUUAGUGCUGCAGCUAACGCAUUAAGCACUCCGCCUGGGGAUACGGCUGCAAGGCUG
This 372-nucleotide ribosomal RNA is filed under the name uncultured organism. RNAcentral's name for it is "partial 16S ribosomal RNA". It matches the Rfam family "Bacterial small subunit ribosomal RNA", at positions 527 to 896 of the family's 1533-position model. The record is from RNAcentral.